Molecule: non-coding RNA, 24 nt
Filed under: Arabidopsis thaliana (thale cress)
Lineage: Eukaryota; Viridiplantae; Streptophyta; Magnoliopsida; Brassicales; Brassicaceae
Source: RNAcentral
AUCAUUUGUCAGGCGUUCGAAACC